GACGCAGCAUGCCGCGUGAUGAGAAGGCCUUCGGGUUGUAAAGUUCUUUCGGUAUUGAGGAAGGGAUGUGUGCUAAUAGUACACGUCAUUGACGUUAAAUACAGAAGAAGCACCGGCUAACUCCGUGCCAGCAGCCGCGGUAAUACGGAGGGUGCGAGCGUUAAUCGGAAUAACUGGGCGUAAAGGGCACGCAGGCGGUUAUUUAAGUGAGGUGUGAAAGCCCCGGGCUUAACCUGGGAAUUGCAUUUCAGACUGGGUAACUAGAGUACUUUAGGGAGGGGUAGAAUUCCACGUGUAGCGGUGAAAUGCGUAGAGAUGUGGAGGAAUACCGAAGGCGAAGGCAGCCCCUUGGGAAUGUACUGACGCUCAUGUGCGAAAGCGUGGGGAGCAAACA
This 394-nucleotide ribosomal RNA is filed under the name Haemophilus sp. RNAcentral describes it as "bacterial SSU rRNA". It matches the Rfam family "Bacterial small subunit ribosomal RNA", at positions 385 to 774 of the family's 1533-position model. The record is from RNAcentral. Lineage: Bacteria; Pseudomonadati; Pseudomonadota; Gammaproteobacteria; Pasteurellales; Pasteurellaceae.